GGUUGACCUCGGAUCAGGUAGGAGUA
This 26-nucleotide ribosomal RNA is filed under the name Daldinia vernicosa. Its description in RNAcentral is "partial 28S ribosomal RNA". Lineage: Eukaryota; Fungi; Ascomycota; Sordariomycetes; Xylariales; Hypoxylaceae. The record is from RNAcentral.